GACGAACGCUGGCGGCGUGCUUAACACAUGCAAGUCGAGCGGUAAGGCCCUUUCGGGGGUACACGAGCGGCGAACGGGUGAGUAACACGUGGGUGACCUGCCCUCAGCUCUGGGAUAAGCCUGGGAAACCGGGUCUAAUACCGGAUAUGACUCCAUGACGCAUGUUGUGGGGUGGAAAGCCUUGUGCGGCUGAGGAUGGGCCCGCGGCCUAUCAGCUUGUUGGUGGGGUGAUGGCCUACCAAGGCGACGACGGGUAGCCGGCCUGAGAGGGCGACCGGCCGCACUGGGACUGAGACAUGGCCCAGACUCCUACGGGAGGCAGCAGUGGGGAAUCUUGCGCAAUGGGCGAAAGCCUGACGCAGCGACGCCGCGUGAGGGA
This 379-nucleotide ribosomal RNA is filed under the name uncultured bacterium. RNAcentral's name for it is "bacterial SSU rRNA". It matches the Rfam family "Bacterial small subunit ribosomal RNA", at positions 28 to 408 of the family's 1533-position model. The record is from RNAcentral.